GGGUUGUGAGGUUAAGCGACUAAGCGUACACGGUGGAUGCCCUGGCAGUCAGAGGCGAUGAAGGACGUGCUAAUCUGCGAUAAGCGUCGGUAAGGUGAUAUGAACCGUUAUAACCGGCGAUUUCCGAAUGGGGAAACCCAGUGUGAUUCGUCACACUAUCAUUAACUGAAUCCAUAGGUUAAUGAGGCGAACCGGGGGAACUGAAACAUCUAAGUACCCCGAGGAAAAGAAAUCAACCGAGAUUCCCCCAGUAGCGGCGAGCGAACGGGGAGGAGCCCAGAGCCUGAAUCAGUGUGUGUGUUAGUGGAAGCGUCUGGAAAGGCGCGCGAUACAGGGUGACAGCCCCGUACACAAAAAUGCACAUGCUGUGAGCUCGAUGAGUAGGGCGGGACACGUGGUAUCCUGUCUGAAUAUGGGGGGACCAUCCUCCAAGGCUAAAUACUCCUGACUGACCGAUAGUGAACCAGUACCGUGAGGGAAAGGCGAAAAGAACCCCGGCGAGGGGAGUGAAAAAGAACCUGAAACCGUGUACGUACAAGCAGUGGGAGCACGCUUAGGCGUGUGACUGCGUACCUUUUGUAUAAUGGGUCAGCGACUUAUAUUCUGUAGCAAGGUUAACCGAAUAGGGGAGCCGAAGGGAAACCGAGUCUUAACUGGGCGUUAAGUUGCAGGGUAUAGACCCGAAACCCGGUGAUCUAGCCAUGGGCAGGUUGAAGGUUGGGUAACACUAACUGGAGGACCGAACCGACUAAUGUUGAAAAAUUAGCGGAUGACUUGUGGCUGGGGGUGAAAGGCCAAUCAAACCGGGAGAUAGCUGGUUCUCCCCGAAAGCUAUUUAGGUAGCGCCUCGUGAAUUCAUCUCCGGGGGUAGAGCACUGUUUCGGCAAGGGGGUCAUCCCGACUUACCAACCCGAUGCAAACUGCGAAUACCGGAGAAUGUUAUCACGGGAGACACACGGCGGGUGCUAACGUCCGUCGUGAAGAGGGAAACAACCCAGACCGCCAGCUAAGGUCCCAAAGUCAUGGUUAAGUGGGAAACGAUGUGGGAAGGCCCAGACAGCCAGGAUGUUGGCUUAGAAGCAGCCAUCAUUUAAAGAAAGCGUAAUAGCUCACUGGUCGAGUCGGCCUGCGCGGAAGAUGUAACGGGGCUAAACCAUGCACCGAAGCUGCGGCAGCGACGCUGAUGCGUUGUUGGGUAGGGGAGCGUUCUGUAAGCCUGCGAAGGUGUGCUGUGAGGCAUGCUGGAGGUAUCAGAAGUGCGAAUGCUGACAUAAGUAACGAUAAAGCGGGUGAAAAGCCCGCUCGCCGGAAGACCAAGGGUUCCUGUCCAACGUUAAUCGGGGCAGGGUGAGUCGACCCCUAAGGCGAGGCCGAAAGGCGUAGUCGAUGGGAAACAGGUUAAUAUUCCUGUACUUGGUGUUACUGCGAAGGGGGGACGGAGAAGGCUAUGUUGGCCGGGCGACGGUUGUCCCGGUUUAAGCGUGUAGGCUGGUUUUCCAGGCAAAUCCGGAAAAUCAAGGCUGAGGCGUGAUGACGAGGCACUACGGUGCUGAAGCAACAAAUGCCCUGCUUCCAGGAAAAGCCUCUAAGCAUCAGGUAACAUCAAAUCGUACCCCAAACCGACACAGGUGGUCAGGUAGAGAAUACCAAGGCGCUUGAGAGAACUCGGGUGAAGGAACUAGGCAAAAUGGUGCCGUAACUUCGGGAGAAGGCACGCUGAUAUGUAGGUGAAGUCCCUCGCGGAUGGAGCUGAAAUCAGUCGAAGAUACCAGCUGGCUGCAACUGUUUAUUAAAAACACAGCACUGUGCAAACACGAAAGUGGACGUAUACGGUGUGACGCCUGCCCGGUGCCGGAAGGUUAAUUGAUGGGGUCAGCGCAAGCGAAGCUCUUGAUCGAAGCCCCGGUAAACGGCGGCCGUAACUAUAACGGUCCUAAGGUAGCGAAAUUCCUUGUCGGGUAAGUUCCGACCUGCACGAAUGGCGUAAUGAUGGCCAGGCUGUCUCCACCCGAGACUCAGUGAAAUUGAACUCGCUGUGAAGAUGCAGUGUACCCGCGGCAAGACGGAAAGACCCCGUGAACCUUUACUAUAGCUUGACACUGAACAUUGAGCCUUGAUGUGUAGGAUAGGUGGGAGGCUUUGAAGUGUGGACGCCAGUCUGCAUGGAGCCGACCUUGAAAUACCACCCUUUAAUGUUUGAUGUUCUAACGUUGACCCGUGAUCCGGGUUGCGGACAGUGUCUGGUGGGUAGUUUGACUGGGGCGGUCUCCUCCUAAAGAGUAACGGAGGAGCACGAAGGUUGGCUAAUCCUGGUCGGACAUCAGGAGGUUAGUGCAAUGGCAUAAGCCAGCUUGACUGCGAGCGUGACGGCGCGAGCAGGUGCGAAAGCAGGUCAUAGUGAUCCGGUGGUUCUGAAUGGAAGGGCCAUCGCUCAACGGAUAAAAGGUACUCCGGGGAUAACAGGCUGAUACCGCCCAAGAGUUCAUAUCGACGGCGGUGUUUGGCACCUCGAUGUCGGCUCAUCACAUCCUGGGGCUGAAGUAGGUCCCAAGGGUAUGGCUGUUCGCCAUUUAAAGUGGUACGCGAGCUGGGUUUAGAACGUCGUGAGACAGUUCGGUCCCUAUCUGCCGUGGGCGCUGGAGAACUGAGGGGGGCUGCUCCUAGUACGAGAGGACCGGAGUGGACGCAUCACUGGUGUUCGGGUUGUCAUGCCAAUGGCACUGCCCGGUAGCUAAAUGCGGAAGAGAUAAGUGCUGAAAGCAUCUAAGCACGAAACUUGCCCCGAGAUGAGUUCUCCCUGACUCCUUGAGAGUCCUGAAGGAACGUUGAAGACGACGACGUUGAUAGGCCGGGUGUGUAAGCGCAGCGAUGCGUUGAGCUAACCGGUACUAAUGAACCGUGAGGCUUAACCUUACAACGCCGAAGCUGUU
This 2930-nucleotide ribosomal RNA is filed under the name Escherichia coli. RNAcentral describes it as "23S ribosomal RNA". It matches the Rfam family "Bacterial large subunit ribosomal RNA". The record is from RNAcentral. Lineage: Bacteria; Pseudomonadati; Pseudomonadota; Gammaproteobacteria; Enterobacterales; Enterobacteriaceae.